RNAcentral lists this ribosomal RNA (1272 nucleotides) under Liorhyssus hyalinus (hyaline grass bug). RNAcentral describes it as "16S ribosomal RNA". The stretch from base 1030 to 1189 matches the Rfam family "Archaeal large subunit ribosomal RNA", at positions 2544 to 2703 of the family's 2987-position model. The record is from RNAcentral. Lineage: Eukaryota; Metazoa; Arthropoda; Insecta; Hemiptera; Rhopalidae.
CCUAACUUGAAAUUAAUAAUUUAUUUGUUAUUUUAAUUUAUUUAUUAUUUAACAGAAAUAACUUAUUUUUUUAGUACAUUUUAUGGAAUCAAUUAUUUUUAUUAUAGUUUAUAGUACUGUGAAGGAAAAUUAUUUAAUUAUUUUAAAGUUUACUUUUUUUGUAGUACCUUUUGUAUCAGGGUUUAUCAAUUUAAAAUUAUUUAUUUAUAAUUUUCCCGAAAUUAAAAGAGAUAUAAUUUUAUGCUAGUUUAUGUGUCAUAAUAAUUUGUAAUAAAAUUAUAGGGGUUAUAUGCUAUUCAAUUUUAAAUAUCUGGUUUUUUAAUAAAUGAAUUCAAUUCAGGUGAUUUAUAGUUUAUUUUAUAUAUUAAUUUAGUUUAAAUUUUAAUUACUAAUAUUGCUAGGGAUAAGCUUGGCAUUAUAUCUAUAAUUUAAUAAAUUUUUAAAUUUUUGUAGGCUUAAUAACAGCCAUCAUUGAUUUCGUUAUAGUUCAUUUUUAUUUGGUUUUUAUUUAAUUUUAUUUAGAUAUUUAUUAAAAUAUUUUUUGUAAUUUUUUAUAUUUAGUAAUAAUGAUAAAAUUAGUAAUUUUGUAAAUUUAAGUAUAAUAAUUCGGCAAAAUUAACUUUCACCUGUUUAACAAAAACAUGUCCUGAAGAAUUUAAUUUUAGGUCUGGCCUGCCCAAUGAAUAUUUUAAUGGCCGCAGUAUUUUAACUGUGCAAAGGUAGCAUAAUCAUUUGUCUUUUAAUUGAAGGCUGGAAUGAAUGGUCGGAUGAAAGGUUGACUUUUUUUACUUAAUUUUUUUGAAUUUAAUUUUUUAGUUAAAAAGCUAAAAUUUUUUUGUAUGACGAGAAGACCCUAUAGAAUUUUAAUAUUACAUUUAUAUUAAUUAAUUAGUAUUUAUUAAAUUUAUUUAUUUUUAAUAUUUUUGUUGGGGUGACAAUGAAAAUUAAAUAACUUUCAUUAAAGAUAUUUCAUUAAUUUAUGUUUAUUUUGAUCCUUUAUUAUGGAUUAUAAGAUUAAAUUACCUUAGGGAUAACAGCGUAAUUUUUUCGGAGAGUUCUUAUCGAUGAAUAAAGUUUGCGACCUCGAUGUUGGAUUAAAGAUAGUUUUAGGUGCAGAAGCUUAAUAACUAAGUCUGUUCGACUUUUAAAUCUUUACAUGAUCUGAGUUCAGACCGGCGUGAGCCAGGUUGGUUUCUAUCUACAAUUUUUUAUAAUAUUUUAGUACGAAAGGACCAAAUAUUAGUAAUAAUUAUUUUAUUUUGAUUAUCAUUA